AUGAAAAGUACAGCAUGUGGCUUUCUGUGUCUCAUGUCACAAUACAUAAUUCUCGCCUUUACUGGCUGCCUCCCGCCUCCCUCUGCUCGCAGCCUUGACGGGCGGGUGGGAGGCGCCCCUCGCGGAGCACGGAGCCCCGUUGCCAUGGAGACGUUGCGCGCGGGGUGGGGGUGGGGGCGCACACUAACGCAGCCUCUGCUCUGGACGCACCUGCACCACGUCCGCGGCCGAAGCGCGAGGGCAGCCAGGGUCCUGACCUUCUCAGAGCCUCUGGGAGGGUUUGCUUGCAGAGACUUGUCUCCUGGACCCCUUCUGAGCGCCAGUGCCCGACCUCCGGGGGUUGUGCCCCCGCCGAGCUCCCAGCCCCGUGUCGAGGCCAGCUUCGUUGAUCAUGAAGAUACUCCUCAGCACUCCCAGACGUGUCAGGACGAAAAGGUCAUCGGCUCAGAAAAAUAAAGGGGUAGAACAAGGCGGGGAACGUACGGGUCCCCUCUGAGGUGGCGAACACCCUGAAUUACACGAUCUUUCACGACUACGGCCCGUCGUCGUUGGCAUGAGGGAAUUCAUUAGAGCCACGUUUCUUGAGCCUGUGGUUUACAGAAAUGACUGCUUUUAAGCUGGCUUUCCCCUUUGCGGGGAGCUGUUCCUCCAGAAACAAUUACGCCUUGAUCCUGACUCAACUAAGCCCAGUUUAGGGACAUUAUGAUUGGCAAUCGUCGAUCAUAACUGGCUCACCAUUCGGUGUUCUUUCUCUCUUGUGCAGAGACGUCUGCACGGUCCCUCUGCAGGAAGGGGACGUGAAAAACAGCUCCACCCUUUCGAUGAAGAGGGGAGAAUUGAGGCCGUCUGCUUUUCCCAGGAGCAGGGAAGGGGAGAUGUGACGGGCAACAUCUUCUGCCCAGACACCCUUUCGGCCACCUGCGCGCUCCAAACGGCUCCCGGGGGCGCUGAGAUUUCAAGAUGGCACCUUGACCUCAGACUUGCAGCCUCCGGAACGGGGAGGAACCAGGGUCUGUUGUGUCUAUGCUGCUCAGGACGGGCUUUGUUUGCGGCCGCAGCCCGAGGGACUGAGACCUGACUACAGGGUUCGGGUUGUGUGUCCCGGGCACGGUGGGUACUUUUCGGCAGAGUCGCUUUGGACACAGUCCGUGCCCACGAUUUCCAGACGUGUCUGGUGGCCGGCUCAUCCGCAAGGAGUUGGUAGUAA
Molecule: long non-coding RNA, 1207 nt
Filed under: Felis catus (domestic cat)
Lineage: Eukaryota; Metazoa; Chordata; Mammalia; Carnivora; Felidae
Description: lncRNA (ENSFCAG00000048462.1)
Source: RNAcentral